CGAACGCUGGCGGCGUGCUUAACACAUGCAAGUCGAACGGAAAGGCCCUGCUUUUGUGGGGUGCUCGAGUGGCGAACGGGUGAGUAACACGUGAGUAACCUGCCCUUGACUUUGGGAUAACUUCAGGAAACUGGGGCUAAUACCGGAUAGGAGCUCCUGCUGCAUGGUGGGGGUUGGAAAGUUUCGGCGGUUGGGGAUGGACUCGCGGCUUAUCAGCUUGUUGGUGGGGUAGUGGCUUACCAAGGCUUUGACGGGUAGCCGGCCUGAGAGGGUGACCGGCCACAUUGGGACUGAGAUACGGCCCAGACUCCUACGGGAGGCAGCAGUGGGGAAUAUUGCACAAUGGGCGGAAGCCUGAUGCAGCAACGCCGCGUGCGGGAUGACGGCCUUCGGGUUGUAAGCCGCUUUCGCCUGUGACGAAGCGUGAGUGACGGUAAUGGGUAAAGAAGCACCGGCUAACUACGUG
This 466-nucleotide ribosomal RNA is filed under the name uncultured bacterium. RNAcentral's name for it is "partial 16S ribosomal RNA". It matches the Rfam family "Bacterial small subunit ribosomal RNA", at positions 30 to 507 of the family's 1533-position model. The record is from RNAcentral.